ACUCCACAUACGCAUCCUUUGCUGAGGAUACGGUUAACGGAGCGCAAGCGACGUUCAACCGCAAAAGAAGCAGAGGGGGCUUAGUGGUGGGGUGACUGCGUACCUUUUGUAUAAUGGGUCAGCGACUUAUAUUCUGUAGCAAGGUUAACCGUAUAGGGGAGCCGGAGGGAAACCGAGUCUUAAUUGGGCGUUAAGUUGCAGGGUAUAGACCCGAAACCCGGUGAUCUAGCCAUGGGCAGGUUGAAGGUUGGGUAACACUAACUGGAGGACCGAACCGACUAAUGUUGAAAAAUUAGCGGAUGACCUGUGGCUGGGGGUGAAAGGCCAAUCAAACCGGGAGAUAGCUGGUUCUCCCCGAAAGCUAUUUAGGUAGCGCCUCGUGAAUUCAUCUCCGGGGGUAGAGCACUGUUUCGGCUAGGGGGCCAUCCCGGCUUACCAACCCGAUGCAAACUGCGAAUACCGGAGAAUGUUAUCACGGGAGACACACGGCGGGUGCUAACGUCCGUCGUGAAGAGGGAAACAACCCAGACCGCCAGCUAAGGUCCCAAAGUCAUGGUUAAGUGGGAAACGAUGUGGGAAGGCCCAGACAGCCAGGAUGUUGGCUUAGAAGCAGCCAUCAUUUAAAGAAAGCGUAAUAGCUCACUGGUCGAGUCGGCCUGCGCGGAAGAUGUAACGGGGCUAAACCAUGCACCGAAGCUGCGGCAGCGACACUCAGGUGUUGUUGGGUAGGGGAGCGUUCUGUAAGCCUGUGAAGGUGGCCUGUGAGGGUUGCUGGAGGUAUCAGAAGUGCGAAUGCUGACAUAAGUAACGAUAAAGCGGGUGAAAAGCCCGCUCGCCGGAAGACCAAGGGUUCCUGUCCAACGUUAAUCGGGGCAGGGUGAGUCGACCCCUAAGGCGAGGCCGAAAGGCGUAGUCGAUGGGAAACGGGUUAAUAUUCCCGUACUUGGUGUUACUGCGAAGGGGGGACGGAGAAGGCUAUGUUGGCCGGGCGACGGUUGUCCCGGUUUAAGCGUGUAGGUGUGUGUUCCAGGUAAAUCCGGUUCACUUUAACACUGAGGCGUGAUGACGAGGCACUACGGUGCUGAAGCAACAAAUGCCCUGCUUCCAGGAAAAGCCUCUAAGCAUCAGGUAACAUCAAAUCGUACCCCAAACCGACACAGGUGGUCAGGUAGAGAAUACCAAGGCGCUUGAGAGAACUCGGGUGAAGGAACUAGGCAAAAUGGUGCCGUAACUUCGGGAGAAGGCACGCUGACA
This 1254-nucleotide ribosomal RNA is filed under the name Salmonella enterica subsp. enterica serovar Derby. RNAcentral's name for it is "partial 23S ribosomal RNA". It matches the Rfam family "Bacterial large subunit ribosomal RNA", at positions 1 to 1756 of the family's 2925-position model. Lineage: Bacteria; Pseudomonadati; Pseudomonadota; Gammaproteobacteria; Enterobacterales; Enterobacteriaceae. The record is from RNAcentral.